AUAGUUUUUUAGGUGACAGACAUUAUCCCCUAACCUUUUAUUCUUAUUUCUUGCCAACAAUGCUUUAUUAUGCAGCGAGAGAGAGAGAUAAGCUAGCAGACAUGCCAUUAUCCAAGGAUGGAAUUUCAUCAUAAAAUCAAUCCUUAUCUUAAAAUUCAUCCAAUUACUUGAAAUUCGUAAAAUUAUUAUUAUACUAUUCCAUUUGGCUUCACUAUUCAUGUGGGAUUGCGAUAACAUUUUUCCAUGGUUUACAAGAGAUUUAUACUGAUAAAAGGUAAAUGAGCUGUUGUUCGCUUCUCAGGGUUGAAGAUUGAGAUUUCCCCACCUCGAAGUUUUUCACUCACUGUGAUAUCAGGGGUUGUAGCUUUUGUUCUCUUCAUCUGUAUGUGUCCUAUCUAUGGCUGAGCAGAGCAUCAGUCUGGCAGUGAUCCCCAACAAUUGCUGAGGCUGCUGGAGGAGAUAAGAAAGAAAAUCAGGUCAUGAUUUGUAAAUAUGAAAAGCAACAUACAUUCGAGAAGAACGCAAGGUGUCCAUUUCCAAUAAGGAUAAUAAAGAAACCACCAGAUGACCAAAGUUUGGCAAUCUCCGUAUUGGAGGUAAGCUUUACGUGAAUAAAUUCAACAGAGAAAAGACAUUUAAAAGAGAAGUUACUAUUACAAGUGAUUCGCACCGUUUUACUUUACUUAAGUUCUACUUUACUUAAUACGCACCGUUUCUAAUAUUUGUAAUGUAGAAGGCACGAGACCCUACUCUCGUUUUUCUCUUGAUGCCUAUAUACAAAGGCAGUUGUAACAGAAUAUGAUUAUCGAAAGAAAGGAAAUAUUAUUCUGUCCUCCCUCUCUGCA
Molecule: long non-coding RNA, 845 nt
Organism: Populus nigra (black poplar)
Lineage: Eukaryota; Viridiplantae; Streptophyta; Magnoliopsida; Malpighiales; Salicaceae
Exons: 3
Source: RefSeq, a predicted model, not a curated record